RNAcentral lists this ribosomal RNA (397 nucleotides) under uncultured bacterium. Its description in RNAcentral is "partial 16S ribosomal RNA". It matches the Rfam family "Bacterial small subunit ribosomal RNA", at positions 523 to 918 of the family's 1533-position model. The record is from RNAcentral.
AUACGUAGGGGGCGAGCGUUGUCCGGAAUGAUUGGGCGUAAAGGGCGCGUAGGCGGCCCGGUAAGUCUGGAGUGAAAGUCCUGUUUUUAAGAUGGGAAUUGCUUUGGAUACUGUCGGGCUUGAGUGCAGGAGAGGUAAGUGGAAUUCCCAGUGUAGCGGUGAAAUGCGUAGAGAUUGGGAGGAACACCAGUGGCGAAGGCGACUUACUGGACUGUAACUGACGCUGAGGCGCGAAAGUGUGGGGAGCAAACAGGAUUAGAUACCCUGGUAGUCCACACUGUAAACGAUGAAUGCUAGGUGUAGGGGGUAUCGACCCCUUCUGUGCCGCAGUCAACACAAUAAGCAUUCCGCCUGGGGAGGACGGCCGCAAGGUUGAAACUCAAAUGAAUUGACGGGG